UCGACGGGCUCAUAUUGAAACCUAGUGAUGUAUGAGUUAGUGGCGGACGGGUAAGUAACGCGUGGAGAACCUGCCGUAUACUGGGGGAUAACACUUAGAAAUAGGUGCUAAUACCGCAUAAGCGCACAGCUUCGCAUGAAGCAGUGUGAAAAACUUCGGUGGUAUACGAUGGAUCCGCGUCUGAUUAGCUGGUUGGCGGGGUAACAGCCCACCAAGGCGACGAUCAGUAGCCGGCCUGAGAGGGUGAACGGCCACAUUGGGACUGAGACACGGCCCAAACUCCUACGGGAGGCAGCAGUGGGGAAUAUUGCACAAUGGGGGAAACCCUGAUGCAGCGACGCCGCGUGAGUGAAGAAGUAUUUCGGUAUGUAAAGCUCUAUCAGCAGGGAAGAAAAUGACGGUACCUGACUAAGAAGCCCCGGCUAACUACGUGCCAGCAGCCGCGGUAAUACGUAGGGGGCAAGCGUUAUCCGGAUUUACUGGGUGUAAAGGGAGCGUAGACGGCAGCGCAAGUCUGAAGUGAAAUCCCAUGGCUUAACCAUGGAACUGCUUUGGAAACUGUGCAGCUGGAGUGCAGGAGAGGUAAGCGGAAUUCCUAGUGUAGCGGUGAAAUGCGCAGAUAUUAGGAGGAACACCAGUGGCGAAGGCGGCUUACUGGACUGUAACUGACGUUGAGGCUCGAAAGCGUGGGGAGCAAACAGGAUUAGAUACCCUGGUAGUCCACGCCGUAAACGAUGAUUACUAGGUGUUGGGGGGACCAAGGUCCUUCGGUGCCGGCGCAAACGCAUUA
RNAcentral lists this ribosomal RNA (790 nucleotides) under uncultured bacterium. RNAcentral describes it as "bacterial SSU rRNA". It matches the Rfam family "Bacterial small subunit ribosomal RNA", at positions 62 to 862 of the family's 1533-position model. The record is from RNAcentral.